GCUUCGGCGCUCUGUCCAGUUGUUUGUGUACAGUGAGUACUGUAUUGAAGGUGACCUGUAUGGCUUUCAUUCAAAAUAGUCACCCAUUUCAGAAUAUCUUAUUAGUCCAUAUAUUUUCUUUUGCAUACAAUGUCAUGGUUAAAGUCAGUCCUUUUUGCAAUAAUCUACUUGUAGUAACCAUACAAGGAAUGCACCCACUCGUGUUAUUAUUCCUAAUUACGUACGUACAUUUCUAUGUUAUCCUAAGUAUAACUUUUACUUCCGUUAAUCAGUUUGAAGUGUUCUUAAGAUUUUAUAUAUGCAUACAGUGGGUGCAGUUAUCAUUAAACAUUUAUUCGAUAAAUUCAGUUUUGUAUUAUUUGUAUUCAUCAAACACAGAUAUUGUAUAGAUUAAUGCUAACUAACCAUAAUUUUAUUUCCUAUAGUGCCACCAAGUGUUUCGAUUUACCCUGAUCACAAUCCGGUUAUAGUACGCGAGGGAUAUGAUUUGACUAUAUACUGCAACUACAGUUCAAACAGUAAUAUUACAUAUUUGAAAUGGACCAGAUUUCUACCAUUGAAUAGUCGGAUUAGGACUACUGAUUCAUCGCAAGA
This 594-nucleotide long non-coding RNA is filed under the name Mytilus galloprovincialis (Mediterranean mussel). The record is from RNAcentral. Lineage: Eukaryota; Metazoa; Mollusca; Bivalvia; Mytilida; Mytilidae.